UGCCAUAUCAAAUAGCGGAGGAAAAGAAACCAACAGGGAUUGCCUAGUAAACGGCGAGUGAAGCGGCAAAAGCUCAAAUUUGAAAGCUAGCACCUUCGGUGUUCGCGUUGUAAUUUGAAGAUAGUUUCCUUGAGUAGUCCUUUAUCUAUGUUCCUUGGAACAGGACGUCAUAGAGGGUGAGAACCCCGUAUGAUUUUGGAUACUACUCUUUGUGGGAUUCUAUCGAAGAGUCGAGUGGUUUGGGAAUAAUUCCUCC
RNAcentral lists this ribosomal RNA (256 nucleotides) under uncultured fungus. RNAcentral describes it as "partial 26S ribosomal RNA". It matches the Rfam family "Eukaryotic large subunit ribosomal RNA", at positions 36 to 289 of the family's 3401-position model. Lineage: Eukaryota; Fungi. The record is from RNAcentral.